GUUGGGCCUGUUACAGCCGAAUGGAUUAACCG
RNAcentral lists this non-coding RNA (32 nucleotides) under Syntrophotalea carbinolica DSM 2380. Lineage: Bacteria; Pseudomonadati; Thermodesulfobacteriota; Desulfuromonadia; Desulfuromonadales; Syntrophotaleaceae. The record is from RNAcentral.